RNAcentral lists this long non-coding RNA (499 nucleotides) under Androctonus crassicauda. The record is from RNAcentral. Lineage: Eukaryota; Metazoa; Arthropoda; Arachnida; Scorpiones; Buthidae.
UGCAGUUUUAUUCUACAUGUGGGAUGUAUUCUGUUAAAUUUCAAUAUAAAACCUGGAUUCAUCAUGAGAAAUGGUUUUUGCUUUUUAUCCAAAUAAGCAAAAUCAAAUCCAGGUCUCAAUCCUCAAAAUUCAUACAAAAGAUCCUAGUUCAUCCAUUGAUCUUUCACAAUCCAAGUACAUGUACCUCGUUAAUGUCAAUUGGAAGGCUACAUGAUAUUUAUUACUUUAUAAAUUUUGGAUUCAGUUUCAGAUCAGAUAGUCAUAUUUUCUUAUGUGGGAUCCUAGCUCAUUGAGCUAGGAUCCCACAUAAGAAUGAUUGAAUGCUUGAAUUCAGCUGACAUUUCGUCCUACAACUAUGAGUUACCCAUGAUUGGUAUUGGUAUGCUCAAUUGAUUUGAAGGAAUAUAGAUGCAUUGUAAAUGGUUUGUUUUUAUUACCUGUGAUCAUGAGAGUGGAUUAUUUUCAGCCUUAUGAACCUGUGAUGGGCUGUAAAAGUGGC